RNAcentral lists this ribosomal RNA (325 nucleotides) under uncultured eukaryote. RNAcentral's name for it is "partial 18S ribosomal RNA". It matches the Rfam family "Eukaryotic small subunit ribosomal RNA", at positions 1470 to 1796 of the family's 1831-position model. The record is from RNAcentral.
CCCUUAGAUGUUCUGGGCCGCACGCGCGCUACACUGACUGCUCCAACAAGUUACCUGGGCUGACAAGCAUCCGGGAAAUCUUGCAAAGGCAGUCGUGAUGGGGAUAGAUUCUUGUAAUUUUUGAUCUUCAACGAGGAAUUCCUAGUAAACGCAAGUCAUCAGCUUGCAUUGAUUACGUCCCUGCCCUUUGUACACACCGCCCGUCGCAUCUACCGAUUGAAUGGAGAGGCUAAAUCUUCGGACCGUGACGCUUGGGAGUCAAAUCUCGGGCUGUCGUGGGAAGUGGAUUAAACCUUUCUAUUUAGAGGAAGGUAAAGUCGUAACA